GCCUGAUGCAGCCAUGCCGCGUGAAUGAAGAAGGCCUUCGGAUCUGUAAAGCACUUUCGGCGGGGAGGAAGGGGGUGAGAGUAAUACCGCUUGUCCAUUGACGUUACCCGCAGAAGAAGCACCGGCUAACUCCGUG
This 136-nucleotide ribosomal RNA is filed under the name Dickeya chrysanthemi. RNAcentral's name for it is "partial 16S ribosomal RNA". It matches the Rfam family "Bacterial small subunit ribosomal RNA", at positions 381 to 507 of the family's 1533-position model. Lineage: Bacteria; Pseudomonadati; Pseudomonadota; Gammaproteobacteria; Enterobacterales; Pectobacteriaceae. The record is from RNAcentral.